UACUUAAUAUGGAUUUUUUUAAAAUUCUAAUUGGGAUUUCACAGAGAAGUUAACGUCCAAAAAGAUCAAGAAAACGAAUGUAAGGGCCAUCAAUAUUUCGCCAUGUGCCGACUGUGUAAAGGAAGCUAUCGUUCGUGUGUUUUCCUACCAUGUUGUCACAUUUUGUUUUGUUGGAACUGUGGACAACAUUUCAUAAGCUGCGAUGAGUGUCAAUCGGUGGUGAACAAGCGGAUGCAUGUAGCAAUGGGAAGGUCCUCGCCAAAUUAACUCUUUUAUGAAGAAAGCUUACAUAGGCAUUGCCUUCUGCCUUAUGCAUUUAUGUAAAUAAAUAUUUGCAUAAUAAACUCUAUAUGUAUCGUAUCCUUGAAAAUCAUAUGCUAAACAACUUUCAACAAAAACAGAUCAUCUUUCCUCAUAAGUUCUAAGUUCCAGGUUGUCAUUACGAUAUCAAAUGAUUCUAUAGACGAAUGUGUAUAAACAUGAUAAAUGUAUAAAAAAAAAUCAACCUACCAUAAUGUUAUAUUUGGAGAUACAUUGUAGUUUUGUGCAUUGUAUAAUCAUGAAAUAAAGCGAACAAUAAAAACAAAACAAAAACA
Magallana angulata is the source of this 596-nucleotide long non-coding RNA. RefSeq lists it as uncharacterized. The transcript has 2 exons. The record is from RefSeq and is a predicted model, not a curated record. Lineage: Eukaryota; Metazoa; Mollusca; Bivalvia; Ostreida; Ostreidae.